RNAcentral lists this ribosomal RNA (253 nucleotides) under uncultured bacterium. RNAcentral's name for it is "partial 16S ribosomal RNA". It matches the Rfam family "Bacterial small subunit ribosomal RNA", at positions 524 to 776 of the family's 1533-position model. The record is from RNAcentral.
UACGUAGGCAGCAAGCGUUGUUCGGAGUUACUGGGCGUAAAGGGUGUGUAGGCGGUUGUUUAAGUUUGGUGUGAAAUCUCCCGGCUCAACUGGGAGGGUGCGCCGAAUACUGAAUGACUAGAGUGCGGGAGAGGAAAGUGGAAUUCCUGGUGUAGCGGUGGAAUGCGUAGAUAUCAGGAGGAACACCGGUGGUGUAGACGGCUUUCUGGACCGUAACUGACGCUGAGACACGAAAGCGUGGGUAGCAAACAGG